This is a non-coding RNA of Pelobates cultripes (western spadefoot toad), 82 nucleotides long. NCBI's taxonomy places the organism in Eukaryota, Metazoa, Chordata, Amphibia, Anura, Pelobatidae. The record is from the annotation of a GenBank genome assembly.
CUCUCUCUCUCUCUCUCUCUCUCUCUCUCUCUCUAUCUAUAUAUAUAGAGAGAGAGAGAGAGAGAGAGCGCAAGAGAGAGAG